This 301-nucleotide ribosomal RNA is filed under the name uncultured bacterium. RNAcentral's name for it is "partial 16S ribosomal RNA". It matches the Rfam family "Bacterial small subunit ribosomal RNA", at positions 509 to 809 of the family's 1533-position model. The record is from RNAcentral.
CAGUAGCCGCGGUAAUACGAAGGGUGCAAGCGUUAAUCGGAAUUACUGGGCGUAAAGCGUGCGCAGGCGGUUAUAUAAGACAGAUGUGAAAUCCCCGGGCUCAACCUGGGAACUGCAUUUGUGACUGUAUAGCUAGAGUACGGCAGAGGGGGAUGGAAUUCCGCGUGUAGCAGUGAAAUGCGUAGAUAUGCGGAGGAACACCGAUGGCGAAGGCAAUCCCCUGGGCCUGUACUGACGCUCAUGCACGAAAGCGUGGGGAGCAAACAGGAUUAGAUACCCCAGUAGUCCCUGUCUCUUAUAU